This 799-nucleotide ribosomal RNA is filed under the name uncultured bacterium. Its description in RNAcentral is "bacterial SSU rRNA". It matches the Rfam family "Bacterial small subunit ribosomal RNA", at positions 8 to 808 of the family's 1533-position model. The record is from RNAcentral.
AGAGGUUGAUUCUGGCUCAGGAUGAACGCUGGCGGCGUGCCUAACACAUGCAAGUCGAACGGAGCUGCUUUGAUGAAGUUUUCGGAUGGAUUUAAAACAGCUUAGUGGCGGACGGGUGAGUAACGCGUGGGUAACCUGCCUCACACUGGGGGAUAACAGUUAGAAAUAGCUGCUAAUACCGCAUAAGCGCACGGUUCCGCAUGGAACAGUGUGAAAAACUCCGGUGGUGUGAGAUGGACCCGCGUCUGAUUAGCCAGUUGGCGGGGUAACGGCCCACCAAAGCGACGAUCAGUAGCCGGCCUGAGAGGGUGAACGGCCACAUUGGGACUGAGACACGGCCCAAACUCCUACGGGAGGCAGCAGUGGGGAAUAUUGCACAAUGGGGGAAACCCUGAUGCAGCGACGCCGCGUGAGUGAAGAAGUAUUUCGGUAUGUAAAGCUCUAUCAGCAGGGAAGAAAGUGACGGUACCUGAAUAAGAAGCCCCGGCUAACUACGUGCCAGCAGCCGCGGUAAUACGUAGGGGGCAAGCGUUAUCCGGAUUUACUGGGUGUAAAGGGAGCGUAGACGGCAAGGCAAGUCUGAUGUGAAAGCCCGGGGCUCAACCCCGGGACUGCAUUUGGAACUGCUGAGCUAGAGUGUCGGAGAGGCAAGUGGAAUUCCUAGUGUAGCGGUGAAAUGCGUAGAUAUUAGGAGGAACACCAGUGGCGAAGGCGGCUUGCUGGACGAUGACUGACGUUGAGGCUCGAAAGCGUGGGGAGCAAACAGGAUUAGAUACCCUGGUAGUCCACGCCGUAAACG